CUGUGUCAGGGAGAGGGGGUGCAGAGAGUCAGGACAGGAUGAGGGAUAGCUCAGCUUCUUCAUCAGUGACAGAUCUGUACUGCACACCCCACAGCAGUAGGUCAGACCUCUUCCUUCCGAGUACAGCAGGAGACUUCAGCUUGAGUGCCAGCUUGUCAGCUUGUACACUGCUUAAUGAGGGUGCAGUGGAGCCUAUGCAGAUUGACGUAGACCCACAAGAGGAUCAGCAGAAUGCACCUGAUAUCAACUAUGUGGUGGAAAACCCAACUCUGGAUUUGGAGCAAUAUGCAUCUAGUUACAGUGGCCUGAUGCGGAUAGAGCGGUUGCAGUUCAUCGCUGACCACUGUCCACAGCUGCGGGUGGAGGCCCUCAAGAUGGCGCUGUCAUUUGUCCAAAGAACUUUCAACGUUGAUGUGUAUGAGGAAAUCCACCGAAAACUGUCAGAGGCCACCAGAGAGCUGCAGAACACCCCUGAUGCUGUCCCUGAUGGUGGGAUUGAGCCUCCUCCUCUUGAUACAGCGUGGGUUGAGGCCACACGGAAGAAAGCCCUUCUCAAACUGGAAAAGCUGGAUACAGAUCUGAAAAACUACAAAGGAAAUUCAAUUAAGGAGAGCAUCAGGAGAGGCCACGAUGACCUGGGUGAUCACUACCUUGACUGUGGGGACCUCAGCAAUGCCCUCAAGUGUUACUCACGAGCCCGUGAUUACUGUACCAGCGCUAAGCACGUCAUUAACAUGUGUCUCAAUGUCAUCAAGGUUAGUGUUUACCUUCAGAAUUGGUCCCACGUUCUGAGCUACGUAAGCAAGGCAGAGUCCACCCCAGAAAUUGCAGAGCAAAGAGGAGAGAGGGACAGCCAGACACAGGCGAUUCUCACCAAGCUAAAGUGUGCGGCAGGCUUAGCUGAACUAGCAGCUCGGAAAUACAAGCAGGCAGCAAAGUGCUUCUUGUUGGCCUCAUUUGACCACUGUGACUUCCCAGAGCUGUUAUCUCCUAGUAACGUGGCUGUGUAUGGUGGCCUCUGUGCAUUGGCCACCUUUGACCGUCAGGAACUGCAACGCAAUGUCAUCUCUAGCAGCUCCUUCAAACUGUUCUUGGAGCUGGAGCCUCAGGUGCGUGACAUCAUCUUCAAGUUUUAUGAAUCCAAAUAUGCUUCAUGCCUGAAGAUGCUGGAUGAGAUGAAAGAUAAUCUGCUGCUGGAUAUGUACCUGGCACCUCAUGUGAGGACACUCUACACGCAGAUCCGAAAUCGUGCCCUUAUCCAGUAUUUCAGCCCCUACGUAUCAGCAGACAUGCGCAAGAUGGCCACAGCAUUUAACACCACCGUGGCAGCACUGGAGGAUGAGCUGACCCAGCUGAUCCUGGAAGGACUGAUCAAUGCCAGAAUAGACUCUCACAGCAAAAUUCUUUAUGCUCGGGAUGUAGACCAGCGCAGCACCACCUUUGAAAAGUCCUUAUUAAUGGGCAAAGAGUUUCAGCGACGUGCCAAAGCCAUGAUCCUGCGGGCAGCAGUCCUGCGCAACCAGAUACACGUCAAGUCUCCUCCACGAGAAGGUAGCCAAGGCGAGCUUACUCCAGCUAACAGCCAGUCCCGGAUGAGCACCAACAUGUGAAAAUCUUCAUGAGACCCCGUUUACAGUUAACACUCCCACAGGAUAAAGCUUUAGAAGCCUUCUUGUUUGGUGUCUGGGUGCGGAUUGUGGGGAGGCCCAUGGCACAUGCUGUUUCAAUCUCCCAUUACAGCAGGAGAUGGCAGUGUGCAGUGCAGAAGUUCCACUGCAAUCUGAGGCAUCCUCGGCACAGAUUAAACACACAUUUGUUACCCUGGAAACAGAUACACACCAGUUAAGUCAGUGGAAAAAAAAAAAUCUUCACUGAGCUGCUUGUGGGAAGCACAACGCAAGGAUGCAUGCAGGGCUUCUGAAGACAACUGUCAUGGUCUGGGUUCCUGCAAACAGUGAUGGGGACAGUCAGUCUUCAGGCUCCUGAUAAACGAUAGGGAGACUGGGGGUUGAGGGAUGCAAAAAUUAAGACCUGCCUGCUGGGCAAAUGCUUUGUGCUUCUAGGUGAUGAUUACGAUCCCAGAACAACACUAUUCCACCACCUAGGAAUUUGUCCUGCUAACCAGGAAAUCCUCUUGAUUAACAUCAAAUACUUGUAGGAAAUUAAGAUACUUUGAAACCCUUUCAGAAAGCAUUUUUAUGCUGUUAUAAGUGGAGUUUGUCCUGUUUCUCUUCAGAAACUUGAUGUGAAAAAGUGCCACAGCCUCUUAUUUCCUGGCUUUAGCUGCCACUCCACCCAAAAUAAAUACUCAUCAUUCCAAGGAACUCAUUUCUUCUUUUUUUAAAUUCCUAAAAUUGCCCAAAUCAUGGCAAGUAAUAAUGUAAGGCAUGUCCUAUCCUCUGAAGGUGAGUGAAGAUGAGUCGUGGAUAUUUUGCAGCUCAGGAAUAGCAGACUGUGUGCACGUAGGAAGGGGAAAAAUGUAUCUGCCAGAUUUAAUAUCUGUAAAGCUCUUUUCUGGCUUUAUUGUUGGGGGAAGUUUGUGCAACAUGAUUUGAGUGCAAACAUUUCUAGAUGGUGCUACAGCAGAAAAAACUGACAAAGGUGCUCUUUGCAUUACGUUUAUUGACAAAAUAAUAAACUUAGGACCAGUUAGG
RNA transcript from Gopherus flavomarginatus (Mexican gopher tortoise), 2654 nucleotides. It is a transcript of the gene named G protein pathway suppressor 1, with no coding region annotated. The transcript has 16 exons. Lineage: Eukaryota; Metazoa; Chordata; Testudines; Testudinidae. The record is from RefSeq and is a predicted model, not a curated record.